This 10479-nucleotide long non-coding RNA is filed under the name Populus trichocarpa (black cottonwood). RNAcentral describes it as "long non-coding RNA (PTRI_LNC002833)". The record is from RNAcentral. Lineage: Eukaryota; Viridiplantae; Streptophyta; Magnoliopsida; Malpighiales; Salicaceae.
GACAAGUUAACAAUGCCUCCUAGCCCUUUUGCUUCUGCAGGUCCUGGAAGAAUGCAUGCAAAUAUGCCAGGGAGACCUCAUUAUCAAGCGUUGGAAGUGAUCUCUGAAACAGAGUAAGCAUACAAUGAUCGAGUAGUCAAGUAGAAGGGCUACGCAAACAUAUCUGCAGAGAGCGAGGCGUUCUAUAAUCUUCGAGGGUGUGUAAUAUUUGUCCAACUGAAAGCAAGUCAUGUAAUAUAAUCUUCGUACAUUGAACAAUGAUGGUGUUUGGAUGUAUUACUGACGCCAAUAUGAUCAAUGCAAACUAGGUAUAAAUAUUUGAACUUUAUUCUUUUGUUUCUCAAAGUGAUGAGAAUGGCUGUCAUAUCUUCAGUCCAAAGCAUGCUUACAAUGAUUGAAUAAUAAAUAAAUGUUAUUAAUAUAUCAUGUUAUUCAUUGUUUGUUUUGUAAAAUAUAUUAUGAGCAUUGUAUAAUAUAAUUUGUUAAAAUAUAUUGAUAGAUUUAGAUUGGUUUACUCACAUGAACAAUCACUUCUAACGCUUGUAAAGUGAGUAGAAAUGAAACUAUUUGAGUUUUAAUGCUCAAUAAACGACUUGGAUGUAGUAGGAGUAAUUUUAACUCAAAAUAAUUCUUAAAAAGUUACCUUGAUUGAGACCAAGAUGAGGUUUUUAAAUAAAAGAAUUGACAUGAAUAAAUUCUCACCAUUCAUGUCUUUAUUAUGAUUGAAGUCGAGUAUGAAAUUAUUCAUUUGCCACUAAUAACAGUGAGCAAAUGAGAAUUUCUGAUUUGAAAUCUAUGUUUUUUGACGAUAAGAUUAAGACUCGUAUGGUGUAUUUCUUUUAACAAAAAGUGCAACGACAUACUCUUUUUUUUUUCAGAAAAGAAAAAAGUAAGCUUCACUAUAUCAUGUAUUUCAUACUACAUGUGCUUACAACUAUUACAAGAAUAAAGAACGGAUCUCUACUUCUUUAUUAUGUGAGUCCUGGAGAUCAUAUCUAAGAUCUUAAAAUUUUACCCUUUGUGACUUUUGAAUAAUCGCUACUUUAGGAAUAUAUUCUAUGGUCAUGGAAUGAUUCGACUUAAAAAAAUACUCUUAGAAAAUCGAGUUAAUUCAGAUCUGAUUGAUAUGAGUGGAAAAGAAAAGUAAUUUUAGUUGUACACCCGUUACUUGUAUUCUCCGGCAGAGAUCAUAUCACUCGAAUAAAUUUAAUAUGGUUUAGAAUACUUGUAAUUGUAAAGAUGAAUUGAGUAUAAAAUUCUUGAGGGAUUGAAUUAUAUUUAGUCAUGUGUAACUAAAAAUACUUUAGGUAUAUUAAUACACUUUAAGAAAUAAUUAAUUAUGAGAUUGAUGUCUCCUAUAUGACAAGUAUUAGUUUUAUAUAUUGGAGCUCCUUUCACUUUGUGCUUCAGGUCGCAUAGUCCGUUCGUUAAGUAUGAAAUUCUUGUGCAAGUUUGAAAUAUAAUGUAUUAGAUAGCUUCAGUAAUUCAUGGGCGAGUGAGAGAUGUUGAUUAUUGGGUUAAGCUUGGUCCGCCCAUGAAAGAUGAGCCUAGUCCAAGUAUUUAGAGGAAUUACUAAAGAAAAUAACAUCUUCCUCUACUUAUAUAUAAAGGGACAUAAUCCAUAUGAAAAAAAAAAGUUUUUCAUUUUAUUAAAAGAACAUGGUUAUCUCUUUCUCUUCUCCCAUCUUGGAUUCUCUGUAUUAAUUUGACAAGAUCUAUAAAAAUAUUCGUACUGUAUAAUAUCACUUUGAUUCUAGUAAUUGAAGUGGCAUUGAAAUAAUUAAUUCAGGGAUAAGAAAAUAAAUUCUCAUGAGUAAGUUUCUUUUUAAAUCUACACUCAACACAAAAUCCAAUGAGCCGGAUGAUGUUACCAUGGUGAAUCCUUCCUGUGGUGGGAACUUCAUUGAUGAAGUCCUGACCAUUUGCUUUCGACUUGCCUGACAUCUUUAUUGCGACAGAAUUCCCACUUCGGAGCAUGCCCUUAUAUACGGAGCCCUAGCCACCCUCACCCAAUUUUUCCUUGAAAUAGUUGGUCAUCUUUUUAAUUUCCGAGUAUGAGUACCUUAUGGGCAUGAAGUUAUGGUGACUUUGCAGAAAAUCUUCGAUGUUGUCAUACGUUGGUAAAUGCCUCCUCCAUUUAUAGAUCAGAAAGAUGAAGACACAUGGAGCCCCACAUACAAGUCUUAUCGCAAGACAUAAUCCUGCGUUGGAACGUCAGAAACCAUAAUAGGACGAGAGAUUCUAUGAUGAGAUGCUACCAAAAUAAUCUGAUGCAACAGAAAUAAGCUGAAAAUUUCUUGAUAGCUACAAUUCUAUGAUGAGAUGCUAUUUACCAUAUAAAGAAACAUGGCAAAUGUGCAAGCAUGAAUUUCAGAAAUAUUGUGAGAAUUCAUGAGGACAGUCAAUAGAAAGCUUACGCACACUGGAAAGAUGCCCAUGGAAAAUGUUGCAGGGGUUAGAGCAGUUGACGACACGAGUGGUAUUAUCCAAUAAGCAAAAGCCUUGCGCCUUGCAUUCUCUACAGUAAAUAGUAUCCCAUUCUAGCGUCAAACCAUUCACAAGAAUUUUAUGGAUAUCAAUGUAUGACAGGCUCCUUUUGUUAUCUGGCGGAGUUGCCAUAAGCACUAGAUCAACAUGGCACGAGUCCCCUACUUCCGAAGCCUUCAUAUCGCCAGAAACAACAUACCGGUAUGCCUUCUUCGAGGACAAGGACGAUAUGCAAGAAUCCUUUCCAGUGAUACAAGAAUUAGUGCUGAUAUAUAGAGGGGACUGCAUAGGAUUCUGGCAACAUAGAAAUAUGUUUUUUCUGGUGCCGUAUAUGAAUGGAAUCAUAUAUGGAUCUCCAUAACUGAAGUUGUUCUCUGACAAAUGAUACAGAGGAAGCGUAGAGCAAUUAUCUUCUUGUAAACCAACAUCAGCUAUCCUUCACAUAGUAAUUGAUCUCCAUCAGCUAUCCGAAUCGUUGAAUAUUUGCACGAUUGUUCCCGCAAGUCAACUGAUAGCUAGGAUCACCGCAGUUUUCCGGGUCUCCUUGUAGUCGAAAAGGGUAGCUAAUGUUAGUAAGGUGGCCACACGAAGAAGGAUGUUCACAAAGAUGAUUUGUUUUAGCAGCACAGGGCUCACGGUUUAUGAGGAGGACCACAAAAAAAACAGCACAUAGAAGAACUCUACUAAACAUAAUGUCAGAUGGCUUGUUUCAGAUUGAAGGCGGAGACUUGAGGCUAUCUCGUGGCUGUUGUCGGCUAAAGGUUGCCUGAAAUUUGUUGGUGGUUAUUAAAGCCAAAACUUCAUCCAUUUUUUUAUUAAAAUUCUGAUAAUUUUCAAAUAAAUAAAGAAGCUAGAGAAGACUUUGAGAUUCUGCAUUUACUUUUAAUUAAUUAAAGACCAUAAUACUGUCAGCUCAAACCUAAGUAAUCAGCUAUUCAUAAUAAUAGAGGGUUUAGAGCAUGACAGAUUUCCCAGGACGGCCGGCUGUCACUGGAGUAUCAAAGUCCCAGUCAAAAUGCAAAAGCAAGUCCCAGUCAAAAUGCAAAUGCCAAGUGUCAGUUACCUCCGAGGAAAGUUACAAGGUCCGGAUAGAUUUAUUAUGUAAAUAUUUUAAUAUUGAAAAAAAAAAUUAUUUUGAAUUUUUAAAUAUUUUUACUGGAUAUUUAAGUUGUUUUUUUAUACCUAUCAAAUCAAUUGAAUCAUGUAAAAUCAACUUUCAUACCGAUUAAUUUUAAAUUCAAGCUGGACAAGAAGUCAGGUUGAAAAGUUUUAAAGUUAACCCGUUAGAUUUGGUUUAAUGAAAAUACUAAAUAGUUAAUAUUUUUUUAAAGAAUUCUAUCAUCUUUUGUUUUUCCUUUUAUUGAAUUAUUUUUUUUUAUUAAUAUUUUCUUUCAAUAAUUAAAGACUAAGCAAGAAUUCAGGUAAAAAAAAAUUCAAAAUUUACCUGUUAAAUUUAAAAAAGUUUUGAUGCUUUCCGCAGUGUAGUGCGGCCCAGAAAACUAAUAGGAAUGGAAUGAAACCACCAUAUGGUGUCCAUAAAUAGGAGCUGUGUUGGUUCUCACCGUAGCUUAAAACCUGGUAGCGUGACGACUUGGAUUCUAGCUGCGGCCGCAUUUUAUUUCUUUAUAAACGCCAUAAUUUUGAUUAAAAAAAAAUGGAUUGACCUUGAGCCUGGUCGUAUGCCGGUCUGGUCUGUGUUUACUGUUAGAGAUAAACCUUUGUUAGUCUUGUUAGUAACAGAUGAAAUAAUGUUUAUCUUUUCUUUUCUGUUAAGCUUUGUUAGUAAGAGAUGAGAUCAUGUUUAUUUCAAGAUAAAAAUAUAUGUUUAGCUUGUUAUCUUGUAUUCUUAUCUCUUCUUUUAAAAUUCAAAUAACUGUAUACUAUCUAUAAAUACAAUGCAUACUAGACUGAUCAUUCAUUCAGCUUUUCCGCACUUUAUUUUAGAAUUGUAACUUUUACCAUAGUUCAUAUGCCUGCUAGUUCUUUAUAAUUUUUAUUUUAUUUUAAUUGUUUGGGGGCGGGCCUGGCAUCAACUUUUAUGCAUGACCGGCAUUACCUCUUGCAUUUCUUGGGAUGGAAGAAGACUUUUGCUUAUCUGGUGCUUCGAAAAGUGACAAACUUGACUGUAACUUAUCCCUAAUAUUUGAUGACUUGCUAACGCGACAGAUUUGAGCUCUGGCUUUUCCUAGCAACUUCGCACCACAGCAUAAAUACCCCACACGGAAAAAACAUAAAGGAACCUAGCAAUAUCAGAUUGGCCAAGUCCUUGAAAUGUUUUCCACGGCUCAAGUCAAUGGAGUAAACUAUACAGAAAUUACUCAAGAGAGCCAAGCCCCAAAUUACCUUUUCACGAUAACAUCAUUUGCAGGACAGUGAAGCUCAAAAAAACUAUGUAUUUGGAAAUGGAUCUCUCUGUAGUUUGCUUGUUGAUGCUGGUCCUUGUAUGUCAUGGAGCUGGCCAUAACGAAACGUUCCAGGAAGCAAGGUGUAAGAAGCAUGGUCCGGCCAUAAGAUUUCCAUUCAGACUCGACAAGCAGCCAGUUCACUGUGGCUAUGAUCCUCGGUUUGUUCUAUCUUGCAAUCAAAGGAACGAAACAUUGUUGCAGCUACCAACUUCUGUGACGCUCAACAUCAAGAAAAUUGACUAUGCAUCACGGUUAAUCAUUGCAGCUGAUCCAGAUAACUGCCUCCCAAGACAGCUUAGAAACUUCAGUUUAUCUCAAUCUCCUUUCAAAUUUGCAGGCCAGUACCAGGAUGAUUAUGCCCUUUUCAACUGUACAUCAAAGCAAGGAGAUUAUUAUGAUCCGAUAUCUUGCCUUGGUGUUCCUGGAUAUGAUAUCUAUGCCUAUAGUUCUAAUAAUUUCCUCGGUUAUACAGACCUGACUAAUUGUACCAAGAUGUAUAAUGUUCCAUCAAUUCCAUCGGAAAUGAUUCGCGGUGAUAAUAUUCUUCACUUGAAUUGGUCAGAACCAGCAGCAUGUGUAGGUUGUGAAGAACAAGGCAAGUUCUGCGGAUGGAAGAAAAACACUUCUAAGCUUGAAACUGAAUGCUAUGAGAAGCCUAAAUCAAAUAAAGGUACGGCCUGUAUUAAAUUCUGCUUUAGUUUUCUGCAGCCAAUCUAAUUCUUUGUGCUUAAUUUGGAACUAUUGGAUGACUCUUUAGUUAAGAAAAUCAAAUAUUUUCACGAGUUCUUCAAUUUUAGUUAUGAAACAUGUAGUUUUCAGGUCAUGUAGGUUGGUUGCUUGAUACAUGUUGAGAUUAGUAAAUUGCACAAGAUAGUCAUGGUUUAGAUAAGAUCCACGAAUUAUGAUUGUCGAAUGCGUGCUAUUAAAGAAUCUAAUGUUACCAUAUAUUUCUCUUACAGGCAAAAUAAGGAAGAUAGAGGGUGCAGGUGAGAUUUCUGCAAAUUUGGAAGUUUUAGAAUUGUCUCCUUAUCUUGCAUCUUCUAAACUAUCUUGAUGAGUUCUUGAUUAAGAAAUGUUUUGUUUGCAGUUGCAACCGUGGGUUCAGUUCUUGUAUUACUGGUAUUGUUGGCAGCCUACCGUGUCUACAGCUCUGAUAAAGCAGCGAAAAACAAUCAGAAAAGGAUUGAAAACUUUCUGGCAGAUUAUAAAGCUCUCAAGCCCGCAAGAUACACAUAUGCUGACAUUAAAAGGAUUACGGAUGAGUUCAAGGACAAGCUGGGUCAGGGAGCAUAUGGAACUGUGUUUAAAGGAAAGCUUUCUGAUGAGAUCUUUGUUGCUGUGAAGAUCCUGAACAACUCAACAGGAAACGGAGAAGAGUUCAUCAAUGAAGUGGCAACAAUGGGAAAGAUCCAUCACGUCAAUGUUAUACGCUUAGUUGGUUACUGUGCUGAUGGAUUUCGAAGAGCUCUAGUCUAUGAUUACCUGCCAAAUGAAUCACUAGAGAAAUUUGUAUCUUCAGAACAUGGCGAAACCUCCAGUCUUAGCUGGGAGAAGCUUCAGGAUAUUGCUCUUGGCAUGGCUAAAGGCAUCGAAUAUCUUCACCAAGGCUGUGAUCAGCGAAUCCUCCAUUUCGACAUCAAACCUCAUAACAUCUUGUUAGAUGACCAUUUCAAUCCAAAGAUUUCUGAUUUCGGUCUGGCAAAGCUGUGCUCCAAGGAUCAGAGUGCCGUGUCCAUGACUACAGCUCGAGGAACCAUGGGGUAUAUUGCACCUGAAGUUUUCUCUAGGAACUUUGGGCAUGUUUCCUAUAAGUCUGAUGUUUAUAGUUUUGGAAUGGUGUUGCUCGAAAUGGUCGGAGGGAGGAAGACUAUCGAUGAUAAGGUAGAGAACAGCAACCAAAUCUACUUCCCAGAAUGGGUCUACAACAGCCUGGAUAAAGGAGAAGAGCUGAGAAUCAGAAUUGAAAAGGAGGGGGACGCGCAAAUCGCAAAGAAGCUGACUCUUGUAGGACUAUGGUGCAUUCAGUGGCACCCCGUGGAUCGUCCGUCCAUGAAUACUGUCGUGCAAAUGUUGGAAGGAGAAGGAGACAAGUUAACAAUGCCUCCUAGCCCUUUUGCUUCUGCAGGUCCUGGAAGAAUGCAUGCAAAUAUGCCAGGGAGACCUCAUUAUCAAGCGUUGGAGGUGAUCUCUGAAACAGAGUAAGCAUGCAAUGAUCAAGUAGUCAAGUAGAAGGGCUACGCAAACAUAUCUGCAGAGAGUGAGGCGUUCUAUAAUCUUUGAGGGUGUGUAAUAUUUGUCCAACUGAAAGCAAGGCAUGUAAUAUAAUCUUCGUACAUUGAACAAUGAUGGUGUUUCGGAUGUAUUACUGACGCCAAUAUGAUCAACGCAAACUAAGUAUAAAUAUUUGAACUUUAUUUUUUUGGUUCUCAAAGUGAUAAGAAUGGCUGUCAUUUCUUGAAUUAAAAGCAUAGGCUCACAAUGAUUGAAUAAUAAAUAAAUAUCAUUAGCAUAUCAUAUUAUUCAUUAUUUGUUUUAUGAAAUAUAAUGUGAGUAUUGUAUAAUACAAUUUGUUAAAAUAUAUUGAUAGAUUUAGAUUAGUUUACUCAUAUGAGUAAUUACCUCUAACGCUUGUAAAGUGAGUGGAGAUGAAACUAUUUGAGUUUUAAUGCUCAAUAAACGACUUGAGUGUAGCGGGAGCAAUUUUAACUCAAAGUAAUUCUUAAAAAGUCAUCUUGAUUGAGACUAAGAUGAGGUUCUUAAAUAAAAGAAUUGACAUGAAUGAAUUCCCACCAUUCAUGUCUUUAUUAUGAUUGAAGCCGAGUAUGAAAUUAUUCAUUUGCCACUAAUGAUAGUGAGCAAAUGAGAAUUUCUGAUUUGAAAUCUAUGUUUUUUGACGACAAGACUAAGACUUGUAUGGUGUAUUUCCUUUAACAAAAAGUAUAACGACAUACUCUAUUUGUUUUCAGAAAAGAAAUUUUACUAUGGUAAGAAUGGAGCAUCAACUUUUGCUUAUCUGGAAUUACCUCUUUUAUGCAUGACCGGCAUUACCUCUUGCAUUUCUUGGGAUGGAAGAAGACUUUUGCUUAUCUGGUCCAUGGAAAAGUGACAAACUUGACUUAACUUAUCCCUAAUCUUUGAUGACUUGCUAACGCGACAGAUUUGAGCUCUGGCUUUUCCUAGCAACUUCGCACCACAACAUAAAUACCCCACACGGAAAAAACAUAAAGGAACCUAGCAAUAUCAGAUUGGCCAAGUCCUUGAAAUGUUUUCCACGGCUCAAGUCAAUGGAGUAAACUAUACAGAAAUUACUCAAGAGAGCCAAGCCCCAAAUUACGUUUUCAGGAUAACAUCAUUUGCAGGACAGUGAAGCUCAAAAAAACUAUGUAUUUGGAAAUGGAUCUCUCUGUAGUUUGCUUGUUGAUGCUGGUCCUUGUAUGUCAUGGAGCUGGCCAUAACGAUAAGUUCCAAAAAGCAAAGUGUAAGAAGCAUGGUCCAGCCAUGAGAUUUCCGUUCAGACUCGACAAGCAGCCAGAGUACUGUGGCUAUCCUGGGUUUGUUCUAUCUUGCAAUCAAAGGAACGAAACUGUCACGACCCGAAUCCCGGAUCCAUGACCAGCACAUAGGCAAGGUUCCCCUCCAAGGUUCCAUGCCUAUGCGAACCCAAACUUACACACAAACUUAUCCUAACUUAAUCAGAGUUCAACGCAGCAUUAAUAACAAAAUCAACUUCAUAAUAUAAUUGAAUUAUCUUAAUACAAGAGUUAAUAUAAUUCAUAGUUUUGGAGCACUAACUUGACAUAAAAGGAAGGUAUAAAUUACAACCAAAAAGCAGGUUCGGAAGGUUCAACAAAAGUAACCUGCUAUCAAGAUAUAAGCUUGAAAAGAAUAAUAAUGAGAGGGUGAGUUCAACAACUCAGUGAGUAGAUAACAUUCAAUAUACACAUACGAGGUAAUACAACAAUGAGAAAUAUAUAUACAAGUAUGGCUCUAGGUUCUUAUAGAAAGGUUUCUCAAAUAGGCCAUAACAAGAAUAUCAUAUGGUAAAGCUCGUCAGAAAAUCAAAAUGCAAUGAGCAUGAGGCUCCGUAUUGUGGGAUGAUCAGUCCACACAGGUUGGUGACUCCCCCGACCAACUAGGGUUCAGAUACGAUGUGCACAAAGACUAACACUACCCUGUGUUAGCAUGGGUAUUCUGACUGACAUACCAUAGGUUCAUAAUCAUAAUCAAACAGACAUAUUCAUAUCUCAAGGCUCAACUCAUGACAUCAAUCAAAUGAGGAGCUAUCAAUUCAGAAGUCAAUUCAAAAUAUAUACCGGUUCAUAUCAAGAAUUCAGAUUCAACAAUUGAUCAUGCUUUAUCAUAACAAGGAUAAUAAUCAACAUAUAUAUUAACAAGAAGCAUGAUCCAAUUCAUAUUAACAAAUCAAAUAUUUAUAAUAUUUCUCAUGCAUAUGGAAAAUUAUCCACUCACCUGACUCGAAAGCAACAAAACUCAAAGCUGAUACCGAAGGAAAUCCUACUGACGUCCCGCUGGUAGAAUAUCAGGAUUAUUUGAAUACAAAUGAGACAUAUUCAAGAAUGACUCAAAAGAACAUAUAACCUAUUUAAUACACUUAUCUAAGGGUGUAUUCCAUAACCCUAUAUGUUUUUGAACUAACUAGUUAUUUUUCCUAAAAACCCAACAUUUAACGGUUUUCCUGAAAUCUAAUCCAUAAUAAAACAAAUAAUAAAAUUGGUAAUAAUUCACUAAAUAACCCUCAAUUAUUCAUCAAACCAAUCUGCAAAAGUUAAUAUUACAUCUGGGGACUAAUAUGUAAUUUAUCAUAUUUUUAAGGGUCAAAUUGCAAUUUUUGUCAAAUUGAAGGACCAAACUGAAAUUGUCAUAAAUCCAUUACUAUACUGAAAUUCUGACCAUAAUUAAUCAUUAAUUCUGUCCAGAAUAUCUCAUUAUACUCCAGGGACCAUUCUGGAAUUUUUCCAAAUUUUUAGGGUCAAAUUGUAAUUUUUGUCAAAUUGAAGGACUAAAUUGAAAGUGUUAAAAUUUCAUAACUAUACAGUAAUUCUGCCCAUAAUUCAUAUUUCAUUCUGUCCAGAAUCUCGGAAUAGGCUCCAGGGACCAAUCUGUAAUUUUCCAAAGUUUGGGGACUAAACUGUAAUUUUCCAAAAUUGAGGGACCAAAUUGAAUUUUCGUCAUCUUCAACCUCAAACCCAGAAUUUUCACAGAUUACCUAUUGUUAUCCCCUGAUUUCUAACACAAAUUCACCAUUCAAACAAAACCAUAACUCAAAAUCAUCAUUUUUAUCUACAAUCUCUCAAAUUCAACUUAACAAUCCAUUACCCACAACAAUCAACCUUAUAACAUUCAAUUUAAUUCAUCAAUUAAACCCAUAACACAAAUUUUCAAAACCCUAACAUUCAUCAAAACUGAAAUUAAAGCUAAAGAAAACAUAUUAUACACAUUUAAGCAUAAUCUUACCCUUUUUUACUUAUUUCUUCAACCCCUUUCUAUUUCCCUUCUAAUUUCCCUCUUUUCUCUUCUUCUUCUUCUUCUUUCUCCCUUCUCUCUCCCGUCAGUUUUUCACUCUAAA